Molecule: ribosomal RNA, 305 nt
Filed under: uncultured bacterium
Lineage: Bacteria
Description: bacterial SSU rRNA
Rfam family: Bacterial small subunit ribosomal RNA
Source: RNAcentral
UGGCUCCUACGGGAGGCAGCAGUGGGGAAUAUUGGGCAAUGGGCGCAAGCCUGACCCAGCAACGCCGCGUGAAGGAAGAAGGCUUUCGGGUUGUAAACUUCUUUUAAGAGGGAAGAGCAGAAGACGGUACCUCUUGAAUAAGCCACGGCUAACUACGUGCCAGCAGCCGCGGUAAUACGUAGGUGGCAAGCGUUGUCCGGAUUUACUGGGUGUAAAGGGCGUGCAGCCGGGAAGACAAGUCAGAUGUGAAAUCCCGCGGCUCAACCGCGGAACUGGAUUUGAAACUGUUUUUCUUGUGUACCGUG